Molecule: ribosomal RNA, 807 nt
Filed under: Actinomycetales bacterium 28-7PB
Lineage: Bacteria; Bacillati; Actinomycetota; Actinomycetes; Actinomycetales
Description: bacterial SSU rRNA
Rfam family: Bacterial small subunit ribosomal RNA
Source: RNAcentral
CGAUGAAGGGGAGCUUGCUUCCUGGAUUAGUGGCGAACGGGUGAGUAACACGUGAGUAACCUGCCCUUGACUCUGGGAUAAGCACUGGAAACGGUGUCUAAUACCGGAUACGAGCUUCAACCGCAUGGUUAGGAGCUGGAAAGAAUUUUGGUCAAGGAUGGACUCGCGGCCUAUCAGGUAGUUGGUGAGGUAAUGGCUCACCAAGCCUACGACGGGUAGCCGGCCUGAGAGGGUGACCGGCCACACUGGGACUGAGACACGGCCCAGACUCCUACGGGAGGCAGCAGUGGGGAAUAUUGCACAAUGGGCGCAAGCCUGAUGCAGCAACGCCGCGUGAGGGACGACGGCCUUCGGGUUGUAAACCUCUUUUAGUAGGGAAGAAGCGAAAGUGACGGUACCUGCAGAAAAAGCACCGGCUAACUACGUGCCAGCAGCCGCGGUAAUACGUAGGGUGCAAGCGUUGUCCGGAAUUAUUGGGCGUAAAGAGCUCGUAGGCGGUUUGUCGCGUCUGCUGUGAAAUCUGGAGGCUCAACCCCCAGCCUGCAGUGGGUACGGGCAGACUAGAGUGCGGUAGGGGAGAUUGGAAUUCCUGGUGUAGCGGUGGAAUGCGCAGAUAUCAGGAGGAACACCGAUGGCGAAGGCAGAUCUCUGGGCCGUAACUGACGCUGAGGAGCGAAAGCAUGGGGAGCGAACAGGAUUAGAUACCCUGGUAGUCCAUGCCGUAAACGUUGGGAACUAGAUGUAGGGGCCAUUCCACGGCUUCUGUGUCGCAGCUAACGCAUUAAGUUCCCCGCCUGGGGAGUACGG